AGAGUUUGAUCAUGGCUCAGAUUGAACGCUGGCGGAAUGCUUACACAUGCAAGUCGAACGGCAGCACGGGGCAACCUGGUGGCGAGUGGCGAACGGGUGAGUAAUAUAUCGGAACGUGCCCAAUCGUGGGGGAUAACGUAGCGAAAGUUACGCUAAUACCGCAUACGAUCUACGGAUGAAAGCGGGGGAUCGCAAGACCUCGCGCGAAUGGAGCGGCCGAUAUCAGAUUAGGUAGUUGGUGGGGUAAAGGCUCACCAAGCCAACGAUCUGUAGCUGGUCUGAGAGGACGACCAGCCACACUGGAACUGAGACACGGUCCAGACUCCUACGGGAGGCAGCAGUGGGGAAUUUUGGACAAUGGGCGCAAGCCUGAUCCAGCCAUUCCGCGUGCAGGAUGAAGGCCUUCGGGUUGUAAACUGCUUUUGUACGGAACGAAACGGUCUGCCCUAAUACGGCAGGCUAAUGACGGUACCGUAAGAAUAAGCACCGGCUAACUACGUG
This 501-nucleotide ribosomal RNA is filed under the name uncultured bacterium. Its description in RNAcentral is "bacterial SSU rRNA". It matches the Rfam family "Bacterial small subunit ribosomal RNA", at positions 8 to 507 of the family's 1533-position model. The record is from RNAcentral.